UUGAUGCUCAAACUUCUGUAAGCUGCUGCUUAGCUCUGGAGAUGACUAAAUUCUGUGCCCCAAUGGUUUUGGGCUCUCUAUGUUCCUACAAGUAUGCAUCUUGUGCAUAUGUUAGAAUUCCUCCAUUUCCACUGGCUCAGCAGUUCAGCACCUUUCUAAUGAUAUUUUCUAGCCUAUUCUACAUCCAGGAAUGCAGCCUUCCUCCAUUUCAGACAUCUGGAGAUGCUGGAGAUGCUCAAGCUGCUCAGUAAUGGCACUCUCAAAACUCCAGUUAUUGAUGGUAAAUACCAUGGAACCAGCACAUUAAAACAUCUACCCUGGUCAGCACAGGAAGCCAGUGAUAAAACUGAACAUGGAAAACAGUCAGUGGAGUCUCCAUACCUUUUGUUGACAGCAUCCAAUUGGACUUGGAGGGAAGCCUUGUGUUGCUCCACCACAUCCUUGAGUGGUACCGUGGGAUGCUCGGCGUGCUCUCCCUCGGUGCACUCCCGGCACAUGGCUGUCUCACAGGACUGGCAGUAAAACUCCAUCACCUGGAAAAGUGCACAACUCUGCACUCAAACGUCGCAGCAGUAGCAUAACUCAAAGCACA
Long non-coding RNA from Passer domesticus (house sparrow), 592 nucleotides. RefSeq lists it as uncharacterized. The transcript has 2 exons. NCBI's taxonomy places the organism in Eukaryota, Metazoa, Chordata, Aves, Passeriformes, Passeridae. The record is from RefSeq and is a predicted model, not a curated record.